CGGAGGAUCCAAGCGUUAUCCGGAUUUAUUGGGUUUAAAGGGUGCGUAGGCGGCUUUUUAAGUCAGGGUGAAAGACGGUGGCUCAACCAUCGCAGUGCCUUUGAUACUGAAGAGCUUGAUUACACUAGAGGUAGGCGGAAUGUGACAAGUAGCGGUGAAAUGCAUAGAUAUGUCACAGAACACCAAUUGCGAAGGCAGCUUACUAUGGUGUCAAUGACGCUGAGGCACGAAAGCGUGGGGAUCAAACAGGAUUAGAUACCCCGGUAGUCCACGCCCUAAACGAUGAAUACUCGAUGUUAGCGAUAUACAGUUAGCGUCAAAGCGAAAGCGUUAAGUAUUCCACCUGGGGAGUACGCCCGCAAGGGUG
RNAcentral lists this ribosomal RNA (367 nucleotides) under uncultured organism. RNAcentral describes it as "bacterial SSU rRNA". It matches the Rfam family "Bacterial small subunit ribosomal RNA", at positions 526 to 896 of the family's 1533-position model. The record is from RNAcentral.